Molecule: long non-coding RNA, 8194 nt
Organism: Orcinus orca (killer whale)
Lineage: Eukaryota; Metazoa; Chordata; Mammalia; Artiodactyla; Delphinidae
Exons: 2
Source: RefSeq, a predicted model, not a curated record
UGAGAUCAACGAGGGAGUGAAUAACUAGUAAAAAGGAGAGGUCCAAGGAGUAAGUCCCCACGCAUUCUGACGGUCAGAGGUUGAGGAGUUGAGGAAGAAGAAGUUAUUAUAGGAGAUGUAGACGGAGCAGUCAGAAGGGUGGGGGGAAAACCAGUAAGUGUGCUGUCCUGGAAGCCAAGUGAAGAAAGCGUUUCAAGGAGGAAGGUGUCGGAAACAUCAUCUGUGUGUAACUUGAGACUGUGAAGACUUAAGCCAGGGGUAACACUGGAAGGAAGGUGAGACAGCUAUUAAAAUAAACAAAAAGUGAUACGAAUGACUGGAGACUAGGUGUUCCGGUCUGAGCACAAGAUCAUCAGAGUUGACGCGACAAGGAAGAGCCCCACCCCACCUCCAAGCUCUGUGAGUGGGGAUCCGGCCCCCAGCAGAGGGCGCAGGGGAGGGAGUGUCCCUGAGGGACAGAGCCAAGUUUCAGUUUGGGAGGACAAGAGACUGCUCAGGAGAGGGAAGGGAAGGAGGAUUUUGCUGAUGACUGACCCGAGUUCCAGAGGGCAGGUGAAAGGGUUUCAGAGAUGGGGAGGGGGGCCCAAUGAGGUCAGAAAAUAACGUGGGGGUUAGACUCCCAGGGACGAAAGAUGACCCGUGAAUGCUGAGUCUUGUGGGGAUGGGCAUCGGUGCGGAUAAGGGACACGAGGGGUUAGUCUUGAUGGUCACAAGGCAGGUAGCAAGGGAUCUGGGGGACUUGAUAGGAGUUGGACAGGUUCGGGGGCUGCCCCCUGAUGGCUGUUGGGAGAGGUGUGGGGUCUGGCACAGGGGUGGUCUACCCUGAGCUGGUCCCUCUCUAGGGCCCUAUUUAAUCCACACAACACUGUGAAGUGAGUACUGUUAUUAUUCCAAUUUUACAAAAGAAGAUAUAUUCAAAAAGCAAGGAGGAUGAAAAGCAACAGGACUUGGUGAACAAAGGCCUUAAAUUGCAGGUUGAAUCUGGUCUUAAUCACUAGAAGGGAGUUGAGAAGGGAGGCUACUUGGGUGUGAAAGUGGAGGGCAGAAUAGACUGGGAAGUUGAUUCCUGUUUAACAGGUUUUGAGUUGAAGGUGCAGGCAGAGGGAAUUGGAAAUGAGUUGAAGAUGACUGGAAACAUAGAAGCAGGCUUGACUGAUGUGUCAGAGCAGGCGAGGUUGAUCUGGAAGUCAGCAGUCCAAGCCAGAGCACACCUUUCCAUCCCAGAUCUUCCCUGGGUAGGGGUCUUACGACCACAGGGGAAACAUUUGUUUUCUAGGGGCGAGAAACAGGAGGAGAUUAGAAGUGGAUUUCGAUUUAGGAACUUGAUAAAAUCCCAGCUGUUGCCCUCAAACUACCCUUGGUAGUUUGCCCUCAACUUCUUGCCCUCAACUUCUCAUGCCAGCUUCUCACUUGGCGUGAUCUGAAGGAUCUUCUCUCAAUUUUAUUGCUGGUGUAAAGCCGAUGCUUUUGAAAUAUUGCUUGAACAGUGACCUCUAGUGUUAUAAAGAGAUCUCUGCUAACCGAUGAGGCAGUCUAAAAGUGAAAAUUCCCUUAAGAGUCAUUGCAUAGAUUCAUAUUGCCAGGAUGUACCUUAAUAAAUUAUUCAGUCCAUCUCUCUCCCUUUAGGGAGGACAUCACUUGAACAAUUCCAGGUCACUUCCCUUCAAGGCAGAUGUAAUGGAGCUUGAGAAAGUUCAGAGAAUGGCAACUAGAGUAAACAAGGAGAGAAAUGUACUUUUCUGUGAGAAUGGAUUUUUUUUUAGAGAUGAAGAAGAAUAUACUACAGACUAGAAAGUUGACACGUAUGAAACACUGAACUAACAGAACAGAUCUCCAAGUGUGAGAUCUCUUUGAAACCAUGAAGAGAGGACUUUAGUAUAAUACUGGCUACCACUUUUGAGUAUUUGCUCUGUGCCAUGUAUGCUUUCAACCACCCUUGAGGUAAGAACCAUUAUGAUCUCCAUUUUACAGGUAAGAAAACCAAGGUAUAGAAAAAUUGAUUGCUAUUGUAAUGAACCAAGGUGACACAGCUGAAAGGGGGCAAAAUCAGGAUUGGAACCAAGCUUUCUGACUCCCAAGUCGGCGCUCCUAACCUGUAGACACAACAACCCUGGAAUAAACAAGAAUGCUAAUUUAUAUAUAGGAUGCACAUGAAUCAGUAAAUUAGCAAAGGAUAAAAAUGUAAAUUUGGGCUUCCCUGGUGGAGCAGUGGUUGAGAGUCCGCCUGCUGAUGCAGGGGACACGGGUUCGUGCCCCGGUCCGCGAGGAUCCCACAUGCCGCAGAGCGGCUGGGCCCGUGAGCCAUGGCUGCUGAGCCUGCGCGUCCGGAGCCUGUGCUCCGCAACGGGAGAGGCCACAGCAGUGAGAGGCCCGUGUACCGCAAAAAAAAAAAAAAAAUGUAAAUUUGUUCAAGAAAAGUGUGGUUGUGGACAUGGCAAUUUGGGAACGACUAGGAUAUUCUAAGCAUGGGUGGUUAUCUUCCAUUUCUCACCCAGCGCUCCUCAGUCCUAGCAAACCGUGGAUCUGUGGCCCUUCAGAGAAGAAACCCCAUGCAGACUGAGCCAUGCAUUUCAAUUUUUUAAAACCCUCAUUAGCAGAAAAAUUCUUCGUGUCUAGUCUAAAUCCCUCCUGUUGAUGCCCAUUUUCUUUUAUUCUUUUUUUUUUUAAAAAAGAAUCAAUUUAUUUAUUUAGUUUUGGCUGCGUUGGGUCUUCAUUGCUGCACACAGGCUUUCUCUAGUUGCGGCAAGCGGGGGCUACUCUUCAUUGCAGUGUGUGGACUUCUCAUUGCGGUGUCCUCUCCUGUUGUGGAGCACGGGCUCCAGGCACACAGGCUUCAGUUGUGGCACACAGGCCCAGUAGUUGUGGCUCACGGGCUUAGUUGCUCCGUGGUAUGUGGGAAUCUUCCUGGACCAGGGCUCAAACCCAUGUCCCCUGCAUUGGCAGGCGGAUUCUUAACCACUGUGCCACCAGGGAAGUCCUCAUUUUCUUUUAUUCUGUCAUCAGUGAAGAUGGAAAACAGGUGGACAGAAUCCUCGUUGUUUUUCUGUAUCUGAAUGCCAUCCGUAAGUCCCUCUUCAGUCUUCUGGUCUACCCGCCUUCAAGAUGUACCAUCAUCCCCCAUCCUUUCCAGUAUCUCCAUAGGUCUUUUGUCUACCUUAAGGCUUUAAUGCAUCUUAUGGGAACAUUUUCAACCCUAAAAAGAAGUUUUGCUUACAAAAUAAAUCAUAAAAAUGUCUUCCUUCAUAAUAUUUACACAAUGUUUCUCAUUUUCAAAGGACUUCCAUAUACCUUAUCUUGCUUGAUUCCCAUGUGCUUGUCCCUGUUUAACGGAAGAGAAAAUGAGGCUCUGGGAAGUGAAAUGAUUUGCCUAAGGUCCCAUAGGGAGUAGUAGAAAAAUAAUGAAGUUGACAAGAAAAGAGGCUGCAUGGUAUUUUAUGACAGAUUUUUUUAGAAGGCAUGUAAGGGUUAGAAAAUAAUCCUUUUUAUCUUUUCUGUUUGUUUUGGUAGCUAUCAGCAUCUGAUGAUAGAAAUAUCUAGCAAACAAAACAAAAGUACAGCUUCUCUUUUCAGUCAUCCUUGGGGGUUUCAUUUUCAUAAUUAGAGCCCAGAACCUCUCCUUCAAUUUAUGGGACUUAGGUAACUGCCAACUCAGUGCUACCUAAUUAUUGGGCUAGGCACUGUUCCAACCACCCGCCACGUACCAACUCAUGUAAUCUUCACAACAACCUUGUGUGGUGGGGACUAUUUUCACCUCUCAUUUUACAGAUGAGGAAAGAAGCACAGACAGGGUAAAUAAUUUGCUCAAGAUUUUACAGGUAGUCCUGGCCAAUAUAAAGGUAAAGUAAAAUCCACCUAAAUCCUGCUGUCAAACAGUAAGCAUCCGUCACAGACUAUGACCCAUUAUAAUGCUGUGUAGGCCGACAAAUAUGCUUCCUUUGACACAUGAGGAAUUUGGGUUUUAGUGAGAUUAAGUCACUUAGUGUUGGUCACACAGUGAGGCAGGGCUGGUACGCGCUGGCACCCUCCAACGGUCAUACCAGUUGUUAAAACGGUAAAUUUUUCUGUACGGGUUGACCGUGCUGUUGCCUCAGGCUCCCCAAGAAUCCCCAUCACCCCUGCUGCCCAGGCUUCUCCCCUACGAGCCCUCCAGAUCUCCCUACAGCCUGGCGACUCCAGGGGUCCCUGCUCCCAUGAUGCUUUCACCCGGCUCUGGCAGGCUCCCUUUGGGAACUGGCAUCAGGGAGACAGGAGGGGGGUUUCAGGGAGAGGGGGUGUCCACAGGAGAGAGGGCAGCCCAGGACAGGAGGAUCUGAGGGGUGUCUGCUGCAUAGGUGGUUUCAUUUCCCCUCUGCGUUAUUACCUAACAGACAAAAUAGGACUCAGGAACGGCAGAGGAGGUAUUUCUCCUUUGUUUUCACAUUUCCUGGAGAAACUCUAGGUGUCUGAGCAAGGAAACAAGCCUGUCUGUGCUGCUGGCGGACUUAGAGGAGAGAGGACACCAGCAUCUGGGGAGGGCCAGAGGGCUGGAAAUGAAGACUAAGGGAUCUCUCUCCUUCCUGAUAGAUGGAUCCACGAUGAUACAUACACGUGAAGCCCUCCUAUACCGGGCCAGGCCCUUACCUGGGCCUCCGUAAUUCCAGGGGCCAGAGUCCAAAAUGGAGGUGUCGGCGGGGUCAUGCUCCGUCUGAAGGCUCCGAGACACAAAACUUUUCUUGCGUCUUCCAACUUCUGGUGGCUCCUGGCAUUCCGUGGCUUGUGGCAACAUCACCUCAAUCUCUGCCUCUGUCUUGUGACCUCUCCUCUUUUUAUUUUUAUUAUUUUAGGGGUGAAUUUUUUUCUUCCAGUUUUGUUGAGAUAUAAUUGACAUAUAGCACUGUGUAAGUUACAGCAUCCUGAUGUGACUUACAUACAUCGUGGAAUGCUGACCACAAUAAAGGUAGUGAACAUGCAUCAUCUCGUACGGAUACAAAAUUAAGAAAAAGAAAAAAAACCUUUUUUCCUUGUGAUAAGAACUCUUAAGGAUUUAUUCUUUUAACUUUCACAUAUAACAUAUAGCAGUGUUAGUUAUAUUUAUCAUGUUGCACAUUACAUCCUUAGUAUUUAUUUACCUUAUAACUGGAGGUUCACACCUUCUGACUGACUUCAUCCAACUCUCCCUCCCCCUACUCCCCACCUCUGGUAAACACACAUUUGAUCUCUUUUUCUAUGACUUUUUGUCUGUUUGUUUGUUGAGGUGUAAUUGACCUACAGCACUGUGUCAGUUCCUGGCACAGUCUUUCCUUUUCUUAUAAGAACACUUGUCACUGAAUUCAGGGCCUGCCCUAAAUCCAGCCUGAUUUCAUUUCAAGAUCCUUAACUAAUUACGUCUGCAAAGACCCUCUUUCCAAAUAAGUCCACAUUCUGAAGUUCUGGGUGGAUAUGAAUUUUGGGGGGGUCAUUAUUCGACCCACUACAAUGUGUGACCUAUUGCAGGAAAUGGACAAAAGGGGGAGACUAUGCAUUUAUAAGACAGGAAAUUCUUUUACUCUUUGUGAUUAACUUGUUAUUCUUACUAUAGCAAAUUAUCUCACGAUUGUUGACAAUUAAAAACAAACUUGACCUUUACCUAUAUCGUGUAGGACAGUGGUUCCCAGAUGCUGGAUGAUAGCACAGCUCUGGUCCAAGGGAAGUUUUCACAGGUCAAGGCAUCUUUCCCUAUAAACCCUGCAGGCCCUGAGUUGAGGCCCCGGGGCCUCCAGCUGCCCAGAAUCACUGAGUAGGAGUUUCUUAUAGGCACCUGGGUUCUUCAGGGCCCAGCAGAGAAUGAGUGUGGCAUCAGCGCCGUCAGUGAACUUGCUUCAGUUUGCACAGAAUAUUCCAAAUUAAGGGAAAUGCCAUGAAGAGUGUCACUUCCGUUUUUGUUAACAAAUCUAUGAGAAACAAAGUUUAAUAGUGAAAGAUAAAGGCAAAAUAUGAGAAUAAAUUGAAUAUUUACGCUCUACUUCAUGAUAUCUCAUUGAAUGUAUAACCACAAGCUGAUAAAUGUGUAUCAGACUAACAAUUAUGUAAACGUAACAUUGUAAAACAAAAUUUCAUAUUGCAAUUCUUCUCAACUCAAACACUAUGUAUAUAUUUGUAAAAUUGUAUUUCAUAUGUGUUUGUUGUCAGGCUAUACCAACUGACCUUUAUGCUAUGUCCUUUUUACUUUCUGUAUGUCAAAUUAGUAUUUUUUUAAUGAAAUAAUAGCACAAAUAGAUUUCUACCUCACAAAAUUUAAAGAGGGCAACUUUUUUUUUUUUUGCGGUACGCGGGCCUCUCACUGUUGUGGCCUCUCCCGUCGUGGAGCACAGGCUCUGGACACGCAGGCUCAGUGGCCAGGGCUCACGGGCCCAGCCGCUCCGCGGCAUGUGGGAUCUUCCCGGACCGGGGCACGAACCCGAGUCCCCUGCAUCGGCAGGCGGACUCUCAACCACUGCGCCACCAGGGAAGCCCGAAGUGCUCCUUUUUAAGAACUCAGCUUCUGAAGUGUAGAUGAGCUUGAGAGAGACUGGAAGGGAAUCCAAGCAGUGUUGUAUUAUUGGACUUGUAGGGGGCAUACAAGUAUCCUUGUCAGCUUCAGAAGGGUCAGUGAGUACACUGUUCACUGAAAAAUUUCAUACAUUGCAUGGAGAUGAAAUGGUAUGGAGAAUGAAAUGAAAUGUCACCCACAGUGAAAUUAAAUGUCUGGGGGAAGGAAAAGGAGGCUGACAAGGAUGACAUAGUUGACAGUCAUGGGCAGACAGCGUUUAGCAUAAGUUAAUUUACCGGCCAGCUCAAUCCAAAAGGAUGCUUAUAUCUGCCUCACACUAUGACUUAUUAGACUCUAACAUGAUGGGAGGAGGGGGAGAAAAUAAGGGCCAUUUCCAAGGGCAUACUGUAUUUUACGUAUGAAUUGCAGAAGCACAAGAGAGACCAAGAAGAAAUUGUUUUUCAUCUUUUUUAGACUCCUGCCAUCCUCCUGUCUAUGCCAGCUCCUUCUCUGGAAUGCAAGGCCCAAGCAGUUUGAUGCAUUAAGUUAAACUACGUAUCUCCAUGGAGGUGAAUAAGAGAUUUCACUGGGAAUCAGCCAGAGAUACGCACAUACCACGAGUUAGAACUUGAAAGCAAGUCAGCCAUGCGACAGACAUGUCUCUUAGAAUAUGACUUUGUACUGGAGAUUGGUAAAUAAACCUCUGGUUGUAAUUCAAAAACAUUUAAAAUGAAUGAGACCUUGGUUUCUAAAAGCUUGAAAUAUUUGGACAGACUAGAUGACAACUUGAUUUAGUGCUUUUCUAAUUAUCAAUAGCUGACAAAAACAAUUCCUAGUAAAGCAUCUGAAAGUUUUGACUUUUCUCCCUAAGGAUACAGGGAGAGAAGCACAGAAGCAGUUACACAGACAAACACCAAAGAGGUAAUGACAAUAAAACACGAUUAGGCGUGAGCCACUCCCCUUGGAACACCUUGGACAGAGUAGGUGUUCAACUUCCUUUAAACGAGGCUGGGGUGAGGGUUUCCUUCUGAAGGAGGACUGAGGUCUUCUGCAUUUGAAAGUGACUGGAGUGACGAUCCGGGGACCCUGCCAUCACUGUCAGUUGUCACGUGCUGGUCAAUUACAGUAAAGGCCCAGGGAAAAGAAGAGCCAAUGUCCUGGCCGGGAUGACUAUGCCCAGUCUGGGUGUGGCUCCCACCUCUGCAGCCCUUCUUCCUGCCUGAUCUCAAGGUGCCAGGGGAGCGCUCAGGUGGGUGGGACAGGUGGGAGCUGCAGCUAGAAUACCAUGCUUACCGCUGGCUGUAAUUUGAUUUGCAAAGAGUCUAUACUCUUUAAAUUUUGGAUUUAAAUAUAAAAUGGAAUCAUAUUAUAAAUGCACUUCAGAAGCUGAUUGUGUAAAGGACCUCCAUGGUGUACCUUCCCUCAAGAGCAAACUCUCUUACUGUAAAGCAAAACAGUACAUAUAGUAAUAUUUUAACCAAUAUAGCCUUUAAAUCUGACUUUUAAAUGGCAGGUUUUCUUUUCUUAUGGUGAAAUACUUUUAUAUUCUGAAAUCUAUUUCUGUAAUCAUUCUGUGUUCCAAAGCAAUAGGUUAAUAAGUCAUUGAAAUGUAAAAUAUAUUCAGUAAAUUUUUUUUAAGGUACAGAACAACAAAAAGUUGCCCUCUUGGGCUUUGCCCACUAGCCUAUUAAAGACCUUCAUGGGAUA